UUUUCCGCGGGUCGCGUCUCUGGCCGCCCGUCCUCCCUCCCUCCAAAUACCGCCUAGCGAAUUAUUGGGAUCUCCGACUCGCGGUUAAGUAUGAUCGGUGCUAACGGGUUUGGUGGUUUUUUUGGAUUUCUUUCACCGGUGAAGCGGGGCAGACUGGUUUUCUCUGACUGUGAUUUGGUUGGAAAAAAGACUCUUCGUGACCACCGCAGCAGGCAGUGCCGUUGAGCAACGGUCCAGGAAUCUUGCUGCGCGAGCCAUUAGGAAGACGCGAAAUGGGCAUUCAUAAUGAGGUCUCACAACUUAGUUCGUUGGCCGCAAGCUAUGCAGGCAAUCAAAUUAUUUCCAAGUUCUCUUCUCAUAUGCUUUGCACCCAUCCCAAAGAAAACGACAAAUUUCUCUUCUUUGAGCUCUACCGAUCACGAAACCGGCAUUCCUCUCCACGUCUCCAGCAGCUACGGCACUAUACAACCUCUUGAUUUCGCCUCUGCUCUCACCUUAUCCUCUAACACUAACAACCCUAUCAUUGGCUGUGCAACCCAUGCCCAAAUCAUCAAGCUUGGCUUCUCAAAUGACAUUUUUACUAACAAUAAUUUGGUUUGGAUGUAUUCAAGAUGUCAACUUUUGAAUUAUGCGCUCAACCUGUUCUAUGAAAUGCCUCAGAGAAAUUUAGUGUCCUGGACCUCCAUGAUCUCCAGUUGCAUUCGCAGUGAUGAGCUUGAGAUGGGCUUGGCAAUAUAUUUGGAGAUGAUGAGGUCUAGGUUUUAUCCCAAUGAAUUCACACUUGCCAGUGCCUUGAGUGCGUGCUGUGCGCUUGAGGACAUUAAGCUUGGGAAGUCCUUUCAUGCGGUUGCUUUCAAGAUGUGUUGUGAGAGGAACUCCUUUGUAAGUAGUUCACUUCUUUGUAUGUAUGCCAAAUGUAGUGAUAUUGAAGCUGCAGAGUUGGUAUUUGGCUGUAUAGACCAUCAAGACUUGGCUUGUUGGAAUGCUAUGGCUGAGAGCUAUGCAUUUAGUGGCUAUGGUCAUUAUGCAAUGAAAAUAGUAUGUCUUAUUCACUCCAAAGAUCUUCCUGCAGAUAAAUUUACCUUUGUAAGUGGUCUUAAGGCCUGCACAAUUUCUGGUAAUGUAAAAUUUGGAGGGCAGAUUCACAGCUUUAUCAUCUACCAUGAGUUAGAAUCCAGCACUUCAGUGAUGAAUUCGCUCAUGGAUAUGUAUUUCAGGUAUGAAAUGAAAGACCGUGCGAUGCUAGUCUUUAAUAGAAUACAUGAGAAGGAUAUUGUCUCAUGGAAUACUGUAGUUUGUGGUUUUGCUCAAGCUGAGGAUGAGAAGGAAGUGGUGGCCUAUUUUUCCAGUAUGUUGUACUGUGGUCUGAAACCAAAUCAAGUAACUUUGUCUUCUAUAUUCAGACUUUGUGGUAUGAGAGAGAAUAUUCAUUUUGGGCUUCAGUUUUGCUGCUUUGCUUACCAUCUUGGACUCUUCAAUCAUGCUCUUGUGACUAAUGCGCUCAUCAGUAUGUUCUCUAAAUGCGGAUUAAUGGACAAAGCAUUUUUCUUGUUCAGCAGCCAUGGAAACGAAAGCACAAUUACUUACAAUGAGAUGAUAGCAGGGUGUAACAUGAAUGGCUAUUUUACAGAGGCAUUGUUUAUGUUCCACAGCCUGAUCAAAUGUGGCUUUAGAUCAGAUGAGUUCACAUACACUAGUGUUUUGAGUGCUUGCCAUGGAACCCAACAACAUAAAAUAGGUGAGCAGAUACAUGCCAAAAUCAUCAAAUCUGGUUUUAAUUCCUUUAGACAUAUAUGUGCGUCACUAAUCAGCACUUAUGAACGACUUGGUUCUCUGGGAAACUCCUAUAAGGUCUUCCAAGGUGUUGAGGAUCUAGAUCUGGCAUGUUGGGGAGUGAUGAUUUCAGCAUUUGCAAGGCAGCGCUUUAACUAUGAGGCUUUCUCACUUCUCAAUUCCCUGAGAAAAGUAGGUGAGAAUCCUGAUGAGUUCAUUUUUGGGAGCAUUUUGAAUUCUUGUGCUGGUAAUGGUGUGCUUAAUCAGUGCAGGUGCAUCCAUUCUUUUGUGAUUAAGACAGGAUAUGAGAUGCAUUUGCAUGUGGCUAGUGCAGCUAUUGAUGCCUACGCUAAGUGUGGAGAUAUCAGUAGCUCAUGGACGUGUUUUGAUUGUGUUUUAGAAUAUAAUGAUGCCGUCACCUUCAACACCAUGAUUACAGCUCUUGGACACCAUGGAAUGAUCAGUGAAGCUAUUCAAAUUCUAGAAAAAAUGAGACGUGCUAAUGUGCUUCCAACUCAGGCUACUUUCGUUGCAGUUCUUUCAGCUUGUAGGCAUCUUGGUUUGGUGGAGGAAGGGCAGUAUGUCUUUGAUUCCAUAAGCUCUACGUAUGGCAUGCUACCAUCUAAGGAUAAUUUUGGCUGCUUGGUUGAUCUUCUAGCCCGGAAUGGGUUUCUUGAAAAGGCUAAACAAGUACUUGAAAGCAUGCCUUAUGAACCAUGGCCUGCAAUUUGGAGGUCUUUGUUGAGUGGCUGUCAAAGUCAUGGAGAGAAAGAAAUAGCUAGGCAAGCUUCAGAGCAGCUUCAACUACUGCAAGGCAAUGAUGGUGCCUUGGUGCUUUUAUCAAAUAGUUAUGCCGAAGAUGGGAGAUGGGAAGACUCAGCGAAUAUGAGAAUGAGAAUUGUACAACAAGGUAUUCACAAAGUGCCUGGGUAUAGUGUAGUUGGGUUAUAGGGCAGAAGAUGGGAUACGUUUCUGAGGCAAAAGGAGGGAUCAUUUUGUUAUACAUGGAUUGUGGUAGACCGCGAAGGAAAAGAUGUUAGGGCACUGUUGGCGCUCACACUACUUGAUCAGAGCAGAAAGGGUAGCAGUUGUUUGGAAGAUCUGUGAAAAAGCUGUUCAAACGGAUCCAAUGUAUAUAACUACUUUGAUCGGGCGCUCAAUUAUUGCGGGACUAUGAGGUCGCAAGUUUUCCUUUUUCCUCUUCGCUUUCAUAUUGCUUCGGCUUUGUGCUUAAUAGGUUUUGAAAUAUAGUUGCUAAAGAAGCUUCUUGGUCUCGUUUCAACGACAUUUUUCUUGUUGAUGGAAGCUCAUCACAAAGGAGAUGGAUAUAGCUGUCGACCCGACUAUGGUUGAAGGGGUUACAAACGAUUUUAUAGAAGAACAUCG
This is an RNA transcript of Dendrobium catenatum, 3159 nucleotides long. It is a transcript of the gene named BTB/POZ and MATH domain-containing protein 3, with no coding region annotated. The transcript is spliced from 4 exons. NCBI's taxonomy places the organism in Eukaryota, Viridiplantae, Streptophyta, Magnoliopsida, Asparagales, Orchidaceae. The record is from RefSeq and is a predicted model, not a curated record.